RNAcentral lists this ribosomal RNA (468 nucleotides) under uncultured bacterium. RNAcentral's name for it is "partial 16S ribosomal RNA". It matches the Rfam family "Bacterial small subunit ribosomal RNA", at positions 28 to 507 of the family's 1533-position model. The record is from RNAcentral.
GACGAACGCUGGCGGCGUGCUUAACACAUGCAAGUCGAACGGAAAGGCCCUGCUUUUGUGGGGUGCUCGAGUGGCGACCGGGUGAGUAACACGUGAGUAACCUGCCCUUGACUUUGGGAUAACUUCAGGAAGCUGGGGCUAAUACCGGAUAGGAGCUCCUGCUGCAUGGUGGGGGUUGGAAAGUUUCGGCGGUUGGGGAUGGACUCGCGGCUUAUCAGCUUGUUGGUGGGGUAGUGGCUUACCAAGGCUUUGCCGGGUAGCCGGCCUGAGAGGGUGACCGGCCACAUUGGGACUGAGAUACGGCCCAGACUACUACGGGAGGCAGCAGUGGGGAAUAUUGCACAAUGGGCGGAAGCCUGAUGCAGCAACGCCGCGUGGGGGAUGACGGCCUUCGGGUUGUAAACCGCUUUCGCCUGUGACGAAGCGUGAGUGACGGUAAUGGGUAAAGAAGCACCGGCUAACUACGUG